RNAcentral lists this ribosomal RNA (515 nucleotides) under uncultured bacterium. RNAcentral describes it as "bacterial SSU rRNA". It matches the Rfam family "Bacterial small subunit ribosomal RNA", at positions 20 to 518 of the family's 1533-position model. The record is from RNAcentral.
UGGCUCAGGAUGAACGCUGGCGGCGUGCCUAAUACAUGCAAGUCGAACGAAGCACUUUCAGCAGAUCCCCUCGGGGUGAAGCCGGUUGUGACUUAGUGGCGGACGGGUGAGUAACGCGUGGGUAACCUGCCUUAUACAGGGGGAUAACAGUUAGAAAUGACUGCUAAUACCCCAUAAGCGCACGGCACCGCAUGAUGCAGUGUGAAAAGAUUUAUCGGUAUAAGAUGGACCCGCGUCUGAUUAGUUAGUUGGCGAGGUAACGGCCCACCAAGACGACGAUCAGUAGCCGACUUGAGAGAGUGAUCGGCCACAUUGGGACUGAGACACGGCCCAGACUCCUACGGGAGGCAGCAGUAGGGAAUAUUGCACAAUGGGGGAAACCCUGAUGCAGCGACGCCCGCGUGAGUGAAGAAGUAUUUCGGUAUGUAAAGCUCUAUCAGCAGGGAAGAAAGGCCCGAAAGGGAGAUGACGGUACCUGACUAAGAAGCCCCGGCUAACUACGUGCCAGCCGCUGC